This 466-nucleotide ribosomal RNA is filed under the name uncultured bacterium. Its description in RNAcentral is "partial 16S ribosomal RNA". It matches the Rfam family "Bacterial small subunit ribosomal RNA", at positions 28 to 507 of the family's 1533-position model. The record is from RNAcentral.
GAUGAACGCUGGCGGCGUGCUUAACACAUGCAAGUCGAACGGAAAGGCCCAAGCUUGCUUGGGUACUCGAGUGGCGAACGGGUGAGUAACACGUGGGUGAUCUGCCCUGCACUUCGGGAUAAGCCUGGGAAACUGGGUCUAAUACCGGAUAGGACCACAUUUUGGAUGGUGUGGUGGAAAGUUUUUCGGUGUGGGAUGAGCUCGCGGCCUAUCAGCUUGUUGGUGGGGUAAUGGCCUACCAAGGCGUCGACGGGUAGCCGGCCUGAGAGGGUGUACGGCCACAUUGGGACUGAGAUACGGCCCAGACUCCUACGGGAGGCAGCAGUGGGGAAGAUUGCACAAUGGGCGCAAGCCUGAUGCAGCGACGCCGCGUGGGGGAUGACGGCCUUCGGGUUGUAAACUCCUUUCGCUAGGGACGAAGCGUUAUGUGACGGUACCUGGAGAAGAAGCACCGGCUAACUACGCG